Leopardus geoffroyi (Geoffroy's cat) is the source of this 723-nucleotide long non-coding RNA. RefSeq lists it as uncharacterized. The record is from RefSeq and is a predicted model, not a curated record. The transcript has 2 exons. Lineage: Eukaryota; Metazoa; Chordata; Mammalia; Carnivora; Felidae.
GCUUAACUGACCGAGCCACCCAGGUGCCCCAAUAAAGUCUAUUUUAAAAAUAAAAGAAGACCUAAACAAAUGGAACUAUAUAAUUUGUUCAUAGAUGGGAAUACUCAAUAUAGUAAUGAUCCAGGUAACCUGCAAAUACAUUUAUGAUUUCAGAACUAUUCCAAAAAAAGAAAAGAAAAGAAAAAUCCCAAUAGGGUUUUUCAUGGAACUAGUCAAACUGAUUCCAAAUCCACAUGGAAGUGUAAAGGUCCAAGAAGAGCCUAGAAAAUACCAAAAAAAGGAAAAGAAGGAAGGAAGGAAAAACAAGGAUAGAAGGAAAGAAAAGGAAAAAGGGGAAACAAUGAAAGAGAAGAUAGCUAGAAAAAAAGGAAAUACCAUUGUAAAUUGAAACUGCACAGCCAUCAGAUAGGUAAAAUCAAAGUCUGAUAAUAACAGGCUUUGGUGGCAAGGACUCAUAGAAAUUCACAUACUGUGGAUGAGAGCGUAAUUGACACCACCACUUAGGGAGCAAUUUGACAAUAUUUUGAAAAUUCGUAUUCCCUGCCAUCAGCAGUUGUAUACCCUAGAGAAAUUCUCCCAAAUGUGUCCCAGGAGACAUUGUCAAGUCCGUUCAUAGCACAGCUAGUAGAGAAAAAUUGCAUCAACUGUAAUGUCCACCAGGAGGAAAAGAAAAUAUGGAAUGUGCUCCAAUAAAAGGCAACUAGCAAAAAAAAAAAAAAAAAA